UAAAAUAUUUAAAGACUUUAAGUGUCCCGUUGAUUGGAUCAUUCCUAUUUCUGAAUGCUAGUUAAUGUGGAUACUUUAAUUUUUUGACAUUUUACAGAUUUUGUGGGAGGCCCAACAUUGGCCAUAGGCUACCUGAACAAACCAGAGUUGAACGCGGUGCGCUUUAUUCAGACUCCACCCUCAAUCGCACCAAAAGUUGGACCGCGACUUUAUCGAACUGGUGAUUGGGGUUACGCCACAGCCGACGGCUCCCUUGAAAUUUUCGGCAGAUGCGACUCUAUGGUCAAGAUCCGCGGCUACAGUAUCGAAAUAAAGGCGGUGGAGGCAAUAUUACAAGAAUUGCCGAUGGUCAGUUCAUGCUGUGUGUUGGCCGAGGGAUCGGAAGGCUCCGAGAAAAUCUUGAUCGCAUAUCUGGUCCUCAAACCCGCAGAGCCGGAAUCUUUCGAAUCAAAACAUCUGGAGACUUCCUCAAAGGCUAUCACACGGAAAAUCAGGACCAUAUUGAAGACAAAGCUACCUUUCUACAUGAUACCGUCACUCUUCGUUUACCUGCCCAGCAUACCUCUGAAUGAAGCCUCAGGAAAACUCGACAUUAAAGCUCUGCCAAAAUGGAGCGAGAAAGAGGAAGCACAACUAAUCGAGGACGAUUGCUUGAACGCCACAGAAAAACGGGUAGCGAAGAUCUGGUGCAAAGUUUUGAGAUUGUUCACAGUUGACUCUGAAGAGAGCUUCUUCGAUCUCGGCGGGCACUCUCUACUUGCCGCUCAGUUUGUCGGAUUGUUAAAUGAAGCUUUCAACUUGGAAUGGCCCGUUUCGGAUUUGUAUUUACACCCGACUAUAAAAUCAAUAGCAAAAAGGUUAGAUGAAUCAAGUCUGGAGAGCUCUUCGGUGGAUUUAAUGAAAGAAGCCGCCUCAUUCAAAAUCGACACGGAAAACUUAGACUUCAAACUUCGUGUGUUUAGAAAAUCUAACAGUUUUAUUAAUCGAAAUACAAUUCUUGUAAAGUCCUUGUCACCGGAGCUACCGGCUUCUUAGGAGCAUUUUUAGUCGACCAGCUUUUAAAUCUACGAAAGUAAGUUUCAUUAUCACAUCAAUUUUUGCCCCCAACAGUACACAUUGUAUAGACAAAAUCACACAUAUUUUCAGAUGAAUUGAGAU
RNAcentral lists this long non-coding RNA (1158 nucleotides) under Bemisia tabaci. Its description in RNAcentral is "lncRNA ENSSSA2NGG001978". Lineage: Eukaryota; Metazoa; Arthropoda; Insecta; Hemiptera; Aleyrodidae. The record is from RNAcentral.